RNAcentral lists this ribosomal RNA (800 nucleotides) under uncultured bacterium. RNAcentral's name for it is "bacterial SSU rRNA". It matches the Rfam family "Bacterial small subunit ribosomal RNA", at positions 8 to 806 of the family's 1533-position model. The record is from RNAcentral.
AGAGUUUGAUCAUGGCUCAGGAUGAACGCUGGCGGCGUGCCUAACACAUGCAAGUCGAGCGAAGCACUUUACUUUGAUUUCUUCGGAGAGAUGAGUGAAUUGACUGAGCGGCGGACGGGUGAGUAACGCGUGGGGAACCUGCCCCAUACAGGGGGAUAACAGUUAGAAAUGACUGCUAAUACCGCAUAAGCGCACAGGACCGCAUGGUCGGGUGUGAAAAACUGAGGUGGUAUGGGAUGGACCCGCGUCUGAUUAGGUAGUUGGUGAGGUAACGGCCCACCAUGCCAACGAUCAGUAGCCGGCCUGAGAGGGUGAACGGCCACAUUGGGACUGAGACACGGCCCAAACUCCUACGGGAGGCAGCAGUGGGGAAUAUUGCACAAUGGGGGAAACCCUGAUGCAGCGACGCCGCGUGAGCGAAGAAGUAUUUCGGUAUGUAAAGCUCUAUCAGCAGGGAAGAAAAUGACGGUACCUGACUAAGAAGCCCCGGCUAACUACGUGCCAGCAGCCGCGGUAAUACGUAGGGGGCAAGCGUUAUCCGGAUUUACUGGGUGUAAAGGGAGCGUAGACGGCGGUGCAAGUCUGAAGUGAAAGGCGGGGGCCCAACCCCCGGACUGCUUUGGAAACUGCAUGGCUAGAGUGUCGGAGAGGCAAGUGGAAUUCCUAGUGUAGCGGUGAAAUGCGUAGAUAUUAGGAGGAACACCAGUGGCGAAGGCGGCUUGCUGGACGAUGACUGACGUUGAGGCUCGAAAGCGUGGGGAGCAAACAGGAUUAGAUACCCUGGUAGUCCACGCCGUAAA